Molecule: ribosomal RNA, 502 nt
Filed under: uncultured bacterium
Lineage: Bacteria
Description: bacterial SSU rRNA
Rfam family: Bacterial small subunit ribosomal RNA
Source: RNAcentral
AGAGUUUGAUCAUGGCUCAGAACGAACGUUGGCGGCGUGCUUAACACAUGCAAGUCGAACGAGAACGGUUUCUUCGGAAACUCAGUAAAGUGGCGCACGGGUGAGUAACGCGUAAGUAAUCUGCCCUUGCAUUUGGGGUAACUACGGGAAGCUGUAGCUAAUACCGAAUACGUUCUCCUUUCUACGGAUUGGAGAAGAAAGAUGGCCUCUUCUUGAAAGCUAUCGUGCAGGGAGGAGCUUGCGUACCAUUAGCUAGUUGGUAGGGUAAAGGCCUACCAAGGCGACGAUGGUUAGCGGGUCUGAGAGGAUGAUCCGCCACACUGGAACUGGAACACGGACCAGACUCCUACGGGAGGCAGCAGUGAGGAAUAUUGCGCAAUGGGGGAAACCCUGACGCAGCGACGCCGCGUGGAUGAUGAAGGCCUUAGGGUCGUAAAAUCCUGUCAGAUGGGAAGAAAUGCAUAUGUACCAAUACUACUUAUGUUUGACGGUACCAUCAAAG